This 594-nucleotide ribosomal RNA is filed under the name Apiotrichum porosum. RNAcentral describes it as "eukaryotic LSU rRNA". It matches the Rfam family "Eukaryotic large subunit ribosomal RNA", at positions 23 to 633 of the family's 3401-position model. Lineage: Eukaryota; Fungi; Basidiomycota; Tremellomycetes; Trichosporonales; Trichosporonaceae. The record is from RNAcentral.
ACCCGCUGAACUUAAGCAUAUCAAUAAGCGGAGGAAAAGAAACUAACAAGGAUUCCCCUAGUAACGGCGAGUGAACCGGGAAGAGCUCAAAUUUGAAAUCUGGCAGUCUUCGAUUGUCCGAGUUGUAAUCUAUAGAAGCGUUUUCCGUGCUGAACUGUGUAUAAGUCCCUUGGAACAGGGUAUCAAAGAGGGUGACAAUCCCGUACUUUACACAAUCAUCAGUGCUCUGUGAUACGUUCUCUACGAGUCGAGUUGUUUGGGAAUGCAGCUCAAAAUGGGUGGUAAAUUCCAUCUAAAGCUAAAUAUUGGCGAGAGACCGAUAGCGAACAAGUACCGUGAGGGAAAGAUGAAAAGCACUUUGGAAAGAGAGUUAAACAGUACGUGAAAUUGUUGAAAGGGAAACGAAAUUCAUGAAUCAUGUUUAUUGGACUCAGCCGUUCUUCGGUGUACUUCCUUUAAACGGGUCAACAUCAGUUUUGUCCGAUGGAUAAAGGUAGUAGGAAGGUGGCUCUCUCGGGAGUGUUAUAGCCUAUUGCUGCAUACAUUGGAUGAGACUGAGGACUGCAGCUUGCCUUUAUGGCCGGGGUUCGCCCA